GCCAGACUCCUACGGGAGGCAGCAGUGGGGGAUAUUGCACAAUGGGGGGAACCCUGAUGCAGCGACGCCGCGUGAAGGAAGAAGUAUCUCGGUAUGUAAACUUCUAUCAGCAGGGAAGAAAAUGACGGUACCUGACUAAGAAGCCCCGGCUAACUACGUGCCAGCAGCCGCGGUAAUACGUAGGGGGCAAGCGUUAUCCGGAUUUACUGGGUGUAAAGGGAGCGUAGACGGCUGGCCAAGUCUGAAGUGAAAGCCCGGGGCUUAACCCCGGAACGGCUUUGGAAACUGGCCGGCUGGAGUGCUGGAGAGGCAGGCGGAAUUCCUGGUGUAGCGGUGAAAUGCGUAGAUAUCAGGAGGAACACCGGUGGCGAAGGCGGCCUGCUGGACAGUAACUGACGUUGAGGCUCGAAAGCGUGGGGAGCAAACAGGAUUAGAUACCCCAGUAAA
Molecule: ribosomal RNA, 447 nt
Filed under: uncultured bacterium
Lineage: Bacteria
Description: bacterial SSU rRNA
Rfam family: Bacterial small subunit ribosomal RNA
Source: RNAcentral